GGUGCUACCACACCAUGCCAUCAGUGGGCUAGACCACAGCAGCAGCCAGGGUUGGGUCCUGGAAGCUCUUGGCCAGAGAGUGCCUCUCCCCCUGCCACCCAACCAGGUCUUUGGUCGGGGAUCCCAAAGCCAUUCUGGAAAGGGCUCCAAAGGAAGGUCUAGCCUAGGCCCCCACAAAACUAGCAGCCCCCCUCCUGCAUCUCUAGGUUAUCUAAAGAAGCACAGUGUAACUUAGGGUAGGCUCCUGAGCCUGCCUCUGCCUGCCUUCCACCUCCCCAGAUCCCUUUCUCUGGCCCAGUCUUUGGCCCUUGGUUUUCUUUCCAGAUUGGAGGUUUCCAAGAGGCCCUCCAGGGGAGUGAGUGACAGCAGGCACCUCCAAUCUGGGUAGCUGCAGGCCUUUGUGCCUCAUCCUCUGCAGGCCCCCAUCCUGGGCAGAGGGGCCUGGGGCUGGGCCCAGAGUCCAGCCAUCCAGGUGCUCCUUUCCCAGUUUGAAUUCAAUAAAUCUGUCCACUCCCCUUUUGUGGGAGUGAAUGUUUUAACAGCCAAAAAAAAAAAAA
Molecule: long non-coding RNA, 557 nt
Filed under: Rattus norvegicus (Norway rat)
Lineage: Eukaryota; Metazoa; Chordata; Mammalia; Rodentia; Muridae
Description: long non-coding RNA NONRATT005772
Source: RNAcentral